AGAAGUCCAGGAACUUACCCAUCAGACAUUGACUGAGCACCUGCUGUGUUCAAAAGAUGGUGCUAAGUGCUGGGACACAUGAAAAGGGAGCACCCUUGCCUUCAGCCGUGAGCCAGUGAGUGGCCCAAAGAAGGGGUCCCUCGGUCUGCCGGGCAGGCUUCGUGGAAGAGGUGGCCUUCAAGGUGACUUGGAGGUUGCCCUGAAGAGAUUAAAAACCCAGGUGUUUCCACAGCAUUCCAGCGUCAUGUGCUACUCCAAAAUCAUAACGGCAGUCAGUAUAAAUAUUUGCCACCUGGUCUUUAG
RNAcentral lists this long non-coding RNA (303 nucleotides) under Equus asinus (donkey). RNAcentral describes it as "lncRNA (ENSEASG00005030081.1)". The record is from RNAcentral. Lineage: Eukaryota; Metazoa; Chordata; Mammalia; Perissodactyla; Equidae.